CGGCACCUGAGCACCACUGUCCCUUUGGUGUGUGGUGGAGGAACCCCAGGCCUUGUGGGACAGUUCCUUUCUGAGCUGGGAACAUUCCAAAAGCCAAUAGUAUGGGAAGGAAAUUCAUCCUGCUUCUGCCACAGAGAAGCACACAACCAGGUCUUAUCAUGGUGGCUCUGUCCCUAUUCUGCUUGUCAAGGAAGACUUCAAGUCAUGGCCAUUAAGGAUCCAUGGCUAACUCAUCCCCAUCCUCUGCACCCAGCAAUCCUGGGUGCUUCAUUUUAUUUUCUCCAGGUGUUUCUCUCUCGCCUCUGGUUUUAACUUUAUCUCCCUGUCACUGACAAGCAUAAAAUGUCCCCCAUGCUCCAUCUACUGCAGGAUACUGUGUUCAUUUGAGCUUUGGUUUGGGUAUUUUGCUUCUUUUUGCCAGUCCUGUUCCCCUUGUCACAGCUCUGUGGUGGCAAAACUUUUUUACCUGUUACCCAGUUACUCCAAUUUGAAGCCCCAUUUCUUUCUACUCAAUAAAUAUAUUUUCUGCUCUGG
Non-coding RNA from Taeniopygia guttata (zebra finch), 534 nucleotides. NCBI's taxonomy places the organism in Eukaryota, Metazoa, Chordata, Aves, Passeriformes, Estrildidae. The record is from RefSeq and is a predicted model, not a curated record.